Molecule: ribosomal RNA, 917 nt
Filed under: Pseudarthrobacter scleromae
Lineage: Bacteria; Bacillati; Actinomycetota; Actinomycetes; Micrococcales; Micrococcaceae
Description: bacterial SSU rRNA
Rfam family: Bacterial small subunit ribosomal RNA
Source: RNAcentral
UGCAGUCGAACGAUGAUCCCAGCUUGCUGGGGGAUUAGUGGCGAACGGGUGAGUAACACGUGAGUAACCUGCCCUUAACUCUGGGAUAAGCCUGGGAAACUGGGUCUAAUACCGGAUAUGACUCCUCAUCGCAUGGUGGGGGGUGGAAAGCUUUAUUGUGGUUUUGGAUGGACUCGCGGCCUAUCAGCUUGUUGGUGAGGUAAUGGCUCACCAAGGCGACGACGGGUAGCCGGCCUGAGAGGGUGACCGGCCACACUGGGACUGAGACACGGCCCAGACUCCUACGGGAGGCAGCAGUGGGGAAUAUUGCACAAUGGGCGAAAGCCUGAUGCAGCGACGCCGCGUGAGGGAUGACGGCCUUCGGGUUGUAAACCUCUUUCAGUAGGGAAGAAGCGAAAGUGACGGUACCUGCAGAAGAAGCGCCGGCUAACUACGUGCCAGCAGCCGCGGUAAUACGUAGGGCGCAAGCGUUAUCCGGAAUUAUUGGGCGUAAAGAGCUCGUAGGCGGUUUGUCGCGUCUGCCGUGAAAGUCCGGGGCUCAACUCCGGAUCUGCGGUGGGUACGGGCAGACUAGAGUGAUGUAGGGGAGACUGGAAUUCCUGGUGUAGCGGUGAAAUGCGCAGAUAUCAGGAGGAACACCGAUGGCGAAGGCAGGUCUCUGGGCAUUAACUGACGCUGAGGAGCGAAAGCAUGGGGAGCGAACAGGAUUAGAUACCCUGGUAGUCCAUGCCGUAAACGUUGGGCACUAGGUGUGGGGGACAUUCCACGUUUUCCGCGCCGUAGCUAACGCAUUAAGUGCCCCGCCUGGGGAGUACGGCCGCCAGGCUAAACUCAAAAGAAUUGACGGGGGCCCCACAAACGGCGGAACAUGCGGAUUAUUCGAUGCACCCGAAAACCUUACCAAGCUUGAAUGAACC